CAUGUUUGGGUAGUGUGGCUGAUCGAAUGAUGGUGUCUAGUGUGUUUGUUGUUAUUUUAGUUAUUGACGUGGGUGGCGAGCGUUCAAACACAAAAUGGUGCAGGAAACAAUGUGUUGACUGACAUCAGUACUAAUGCCGCAUAACAAAUGUCAGUGAAAUUGAUACGUAGACUCCUUUUAAAACGACACGGAAGAUGGCAUUCCUGAAACACAAGUGUUUAUAGAGGAUGAUGAAGAUUUCAUAAUAAUAUUGUACAUAGCCAGUGGAGUUUACCAUGGCUCAUUCUGGAAGUUCAGAUCAUUCGACAAGUUUUCCAGCGCCGAUUUGGGCGCCAUCAAUUCCACCUCCACCGUAUGUUCCAUCGGAAUGGGCAACAUCAGAGGCCGCAGUGUUCCAGCCUGCUGUAAACACGCUAUUUUCUUUUCCACCUUGCAGCAACGCUCCACCUCCACCAGUACCGCCAUGUCCUCCACAUCAGCAGGUGACGAUACCCUUCAAUAAUCCUGUAAACCAAGUUCCACCUCCUGGCGCUCCUUACCGUACUUACAGUCAACCACAUGGACAGCAAGAUGGAGAUUGUAAUCGCUUCAUUAGUUGUCAGAACCAGAAGAUAGAAGGAAACUCUCAGUCUGUGUAUGUGCCACCGUAUCCACCACCUGUAGCACCAGUAACUUCAAGUAUUUCAGUGUCAUAUCCUGCAAAUUUUUCUCAGGUUAGUAAUGUACAGAAUAAUUCUCAGUGGUCAAAUGAUGUUCCAGUUCCAGUAAAUCCCUGGUACAAUAAGGAUCUUCCUCAGAAUUCUGUUUUAAACUGUUAUGGUAUUAAUGACUCUGGUUCCCACCAAAAUUUGCCUUUUGGACCUGAUGCGACGGAGGCAUGGGGAUUACUUCCCAAAUCGUUGGGCAAAAAUCCACAUAUUAGCAGUGAAGCGGAGAAAAGUAAUCGUAGGGGACGCCGUCAUUCUCCAGGGAGAUCAGAUCGUAGUAAGCCAGAGAGGAGAAACAAUCGUGAUGAAAACAGUGAAAGGCGACGAACUCGUGAAAGAAGUGUAUCCAGUCAUCCUAGUCCGCGCAGAAAGCGAUCCUAUAGUCCCGAUCGUUCAAAUAAAAGGCGUAGUCGAGAAAGGUCCCACAGUCGUAAAUAUGAUAAGCGAACUAGUGAACCUGACUAUAGAUCUGGAUCUUCAUCUAGUGACUGGCUGUCGAAGCGCAGUGAUAGAAGUAGGCACCACCCUCACAGAGAAAGCAGCCGACGUUCGAAGUCACCAGACAAACGCUUAUCAAAUAGGUCGCAAAGGCGAUAUUCAAAAAGUCCUGGGAGAAAACGAAGUGUGGAUAGGAGGCCUAGCGAUAACCCAGUCAUUAAUUCUAGUGAGAAGGAACUCAGUGUGUCAGUUUUGUGCAGCAGUACGGAAGAGUCAGCCAGAAGAUCAUGUUCACCGAAGUCAGACAACAAGCAGGAGAAAUCGAAAGAAAAAAUCAAGAAAGUAUAUUCGGAAAGAGAUGCUCUUUUACGGAAGUGGAGGCAGAAUUAUUGCUCCAACAUUGCAGAAAUGCAAAUGAAGCUGGAAGAGUUAUCUAAGUUGAAACCUGAACAAAUACUGGAACAUGAGAAAAAAGUGUGGACACGCUCAGCACCAGCUGAUCUUUAUUAUGCAAGAGAUGAAAAUAAUGUAAAAGUUAUGAGAGCCACUCCAAAACUGACAGCCUUGUGUGACAAAUUUGAAGAUGAGAUUGUGAAGAGGGCACAAAAAGUGAGAGAGUCUCAGCCACCUUAUGAACCACCACCGCGGAAAAAGAGGCUGCGCUUGGCCAAGCACAAGUCUGAAAUACGUGACUCAAGUUGCAGCUCUAGUGAAGAAAGUUCAACUGAUGAGGAAGAUUGCACAAUGGAAGAACUAGAAAGAAAGAGGCUACAUCCAUAUCGUUUGCACCCAGAAAUGUGGUUCAAUGAUCCAGGAGAGAUGAAUGACGGUCCCUUGUGCCGGUGCAGUGCAAAAGCUCGACGAAGUGGUAUACGACAUGGAAUAUAUGCUGGUGAGAGUCACUUACUGAAAUGUGAUAUAAAUACAAAUAAUGCUGAUCGACUUUACCAUUAUCAUAUUACUAUAUCUCCACCAACAAAUUUUUUGACUAAAACGCCAACAAUCAUUAAACAUGAUGAACAUGAGUUUAUUUUUGAAGGCUUCUCAAUGUUUUCUCACUUUCCUUUGCACAAGCUACCUACAUGUAAAGUUAUUCGCUUCAAUAUUGAAUACACUAUUCUUUACAUUGAGGAAAAGCUUCCUGAGAACUUUACAAUACGAGAGCUGGAUCUUUUUUAUACAUAUCUCUUUAAGGAGAUACUGGAACUUGUAGACAUGGAUUUUCAUGCCCAUUCUGAUUCAUCUGGCUGUGCUCAAUUCCACUUUAUGCCAAGAUUUGUGCGAGAUCUGCCAGAUAAUGGAAAAGAAAUAUUAUCAAUGAAUGAAGUGCUGAUAUAUCUUAUGAAUAACAGUCAUCCGCUCAUAGAAGAUGACAAGUUAGAGAAAUUGCUUAGUAUGUCUCAGUACAAGUGGCAGAAUUUUGCUGAUGAAGUGAAAGGUAUGGUUGUAACAUAUCCUGGUAUGAAACCAUGCUCCGUAAGAGUUGACCAACUAGACAGGGACCAGCACAAGAAAGCUACUCCAUCUUACCCAGAGAUAGUGCAUUUUGGAAUAAGACCUCCACAGCUCAGUUAUGCAGGAAAUCCUGAAUAUCAGAAAGCUUGGAGGGAGUAUGUAAAGUUUCGCCAUCUUUUGGCUAACAUGCCCAAGCCUUCUUUUGAGGAUAAACGAAAACUUGAAGCCAAAGAAAAUAGAUUGCAGGAGAUGCGUACUCAAAGCAAAAUGAAGAGAGAUGUUACAGUAGCUGUUCCUUCUAAAGGUUUCCAUAGGACUGGCAUCAUGUGUGAUAUCAUACAGCAUGCCAUGUUGAUUCCAGUGCUUGUGUGUCAUUUGCGGUUUCAUAGAUCAUGUGAUGUGCUGGAGGAAAGUAUUGGCUAUAAAUUUGAAAAUAGGUUUCUACUUCAGCUAGCUUUAACACAUCCUUCAUAUAGAGAAAAUUUUGGUACAAAUCCAGACCAUGCUCGAAAUUCCUUAACAAACUGCGGCAUAAGGCAGCCAGAAUAUGGAGACAGAAGAAUACAUUACAUGAAUACACGUAAGAGAGGAGAGAACUCCUUACAAACUGAUGGGCAGCCCUUAAGUGGUUCUCCAUCCACCUCCACAGUGGAACAUAAUGCAACACGCUCCUCCCCAGACUAUGUUAAAACACAGCAAUGCUCAAGUAAUAAAAGGAAGAGCCCUGAAAGAGGGAUUAAUACACUCAUCAAUAUUAUGUCACGUUUUGGGAAAAAGACAGAAACUGAGUCAAAUAUUACUCACAAUGAAAGGCUGGAAUUCUUGGGUGAUGCUGUAGUGGAAUUUUUGUCCUCUAUUCAUCUGUUCCACAUGUUUCCUGACUUAGAAGAAGGAGGACUGGCAACUUACAGAGCAGCUAUAGUCCAGAACCAGCACCUUGCUGUUUUGGCUAAGACUCUUAAAUUGGAGGAUUAUAUGCUGUAUGCCCAUGGUUCUGACCUGUGUCAUGAUUUGGAGCUUAGACAUGCUAUGGCUAACUGCUUUGAAGCCUUAAUGGGGGCCCUGUUUCUGGAUGGAGGAAUUGGAGUGGCAGACAAGGUAUUUUCAGAAACAUUAUUUAAGGAAGAUCUGGAUUUGUUAGAUGUGUGGGUGAACUAUCCUCCACAUCCUCUGCAAGAACAAGAGCCAAUGGGGGAUAGAAAGUGGAUACCAGCUUUUGAGCUUUUGCAAAAACUGACAAAAUUUGAAGAAUCUAUUGGAGUUGAAUUUAAACACAUAAGGCUCUUGGCUCGAGCAUUUACGGACCGAAGCAUUGGUUACACCAACUUGACACUGGGUUCAAAUCAGAGGCUUGAGUUCCUUGGAGAUACUGUCCUGCAGUUAAUUGCUUCAGAGUAUUUGUACAAAUACUUUCCUGAGCACCAUGAAGGUCAUUUGUCUCUUCUCCGCAGUUCACUCGUGAACAACAGAACUCAGGCAGUAGUAUGUGACGAUUUGGGCAUGACAAGUUAUGCCCUCUACUCUAAUCCAAAGGCUGAAUUGAAGACAAAGGACAGAGCUGAUCUGCUGGAAGCGUUCCUUGGUGCCCUUUAUGUUGAUAAGGGACUUCAGUACUGCCAAGUGUUUUGCCAUGUGUGUUUCUUUCCUCGUCUGCAAGACUUCAUUAUGAACCAGGACUGGAAUGAUCCAAAGUCUAAGCUACAACAGUGUUGUCUCACCUUACGCACCAUGGAGGGAGGGGAGCCUGAUAUUCCUCUUUACAAAGUAAUUGAAUGCAAAGGCCCAACUAAUACUCGAGUUUAUACAGUAGCUGUUUAUUUUCGAGGCGAGCGGCUUGCGAAGGCUUCUGGACAUAGUAUUCAACAGGCUGAGAUGAGUGCAGCCAAAGAGGCUUUGGAGCUUUCACAUGGGCUGUUCCCACAGUUGGACCAUCAGAAACGGGUUAUUGCUAAAAGCAUGAAAAGACAAACUUGGCCCAAGCGCGCCUCAAUGCCACACAAAUCAAGAGCUUCUCGUACUCCAUCUGAAGGCAACAGGCGCCUGAGUGCAGAUCGAACUCCACGAAAGGAAUAAUGAAGAAGAGGUUUCAGAGCAGCCAGAACAACCUGUAGGAACCAACAGAAAGUUUGACCAGUACACUCAAGUAUUCAUCCAGUAAGGACUACAGAAGAAGUACAAACAGGGGAAAAACUAGAGAGAGAUUUGCAAGGGCGAAUGCUGUGGAUGCCUGUCUGCAGUGACAUCUACCGGCAACUGAGGCUUGACUCCAUUUUCUGCAACAUUCUUUGUCUUAAAGGAGGCUUCAACAGAACAUCAGAAUGCAGUGAAGGAUAUUGCAUUUGUUAUGCAUGAAAAUAUAGUAUCAAUGGAAACAACUGAGUUAUAUCUCUGCAAUGUGAAAUAAACUGUUAUACAUAUCCUCCUCUAUUUUGGUUUCUUGCACGGUAACACGUCAAUGGAUUACUUUGCAACAUGUCUUAUCUCCAGAACAAAAAAUUGUGUGUAAGAUAUAGUUAUUAUACAUGAAACAUUAUUAUGAA
Schistocerca americana (American grasshopper) is the source of this 5140-nucleotide RNA transcript. It is a transcript of the gene named ribonuclease 3, with no coding region annotated. The record is from RefSeq and is a predicted model, not a curated record. Lineage: Eukaryota; Metazoa; Arthropoda; Insecta; Orthoptera; Acrididae. The transcript has 25 exons.